GAUGAAGAACGCAGCGAAAUGCGAUAAGUAAUGUGAAUUGCAGAAUUCAGUGAAUCAUCGAAUCUUUGAACGCACAUUGCGCCCCCUGGUAUUCCGGGGGGCAUGCCUGUCCGAGCGUCAUUACAACCCUCAAGCUCAGCUUGGUGUUGGGCCCCGCCGCCCCGGCGGGCCCUAAAGUCAGUGGCGGUGCCGUCCGGCUCCGAGCGUAGUAAUUCUUCUCGCUCUGGAGGUCCGGUCGUGUGCUCGCCUGCAACCCCCAAUUUUUUUCAGGUUGACCUCGGAUCAGGUAGGGAUACCCGCUGAACUUAAGCAUAUCAAUAAGCGGAGGA
Molecule: unclassified non-coding RNA, 329 nt
Filed under: soil metagenome
Description: partial contains 5.8S ribosomal RNA, internal transcribed spacer 2, and large subunit ribosomal RNA
Rfam family: 5.8S ribosomal RNA (bases 1-120)
Source: RNAcentral